Molecule: ribosomal RNA, 465 nt
Filed under: uncultured bacterium
Lineage: Bacteria
Description: partial 16S ribosomal RNA
Rfam family: Bacterial small subunit ribosomal RNA
Source: RNAcentral
GACGAACGCUGGCGGCGUGCUUAACACAUGCAAGUCGAACGGAAAGGCCCUGCUUGCAGGGUACUCGAGUGGCGAACGGGUGAGUAACACGUGGGUGAUCUGCCCUGCACUUCGGGAUAAGCCUGGGAAACUGGGUCUAAUACCGGAUAGGAGCCAUUUUUAGUGUGAUGGUUGGAAAGUUUUUUCGGUGUAGGAUGAGCUCGCGGCCUAUCAGCUUGUUGGUGGGGUAAUGGCCUACCAAGGCGGCUACGGGUAGCCGGCCUGAGGGGCUGGACGGCCACACUGGGACCGAGGGACGGCACAGAUUGCUACGGGAGGGAGAAGUGCGGAAGAUUGAACAAUGGGCGCAAGCCUGAUGAAGCGACGCCGCGGGGGGGAUGACGGUCUUCGGGUUGAAAACUCCUUUCGCUAGGGACGAAGCUUUUUGUGACGGUACCUAGAUAAGAAGCACCGGCUAACUACGUG